This 312-nucleotide ribosomal RNA is filed under the name Corticium candelabrum. RNAcentral's name for it is "partial 28S ribosomal RNA". It matches the Rfam family "Eukaryotic large subunit ribosomal RNA", at positions 1 to 308 of the family's 3401-position model. Lineage: Eukaryota; Metazoa; Porifera; Homoscleromorpha; Homosclerophorida; Plakinidae. The record is from RNAcentral.
UGACCUCAGAUCAGGCAAGAAUACCCGCUGAACUUAAGCAUAUCAAUAAGCGGAGGAAAAGAAACCAACAGGGAUUCCCUCAGUAACGGCGAGCGAAGAGGGAAGAGCUCAAGCCGAAAAUCUCCGGCGGCAACGUCGGCGAAUUGUNGUUUGGAGAAGUGUCUUCAACGCGUCUCUUACGGUCCAAGUNGCUUGGAACGGCACGUCACGGAGGGUNAGAAUCCCGUGUGCGAUCGGAGCGGGCGCGCCACGAAGCACUUUCGAAGAGUCGGGUNNUUUGGGAUUGCAGCCCAAAGCGGGNNNUAAACUCCA